CACAGAUCACAAAUUUUAUAAAUCACAACUAAAAUUUUUAUGUUACAUAUUAUUUAUUAUUACAACAUGUUAUUUUUUAGUCACAAGAUAUUCAAAUUAUUCAGAGUCUCAAAUAAUUAAUCACAAACCCUCCUAAUCCCACCACCUACGCCACGCAACCCCAAUCCUCCAUGGCACUACCGCCGCCACUUCUUCCAGCAAAUAUCAUUGUCAACUUCAAAAUCAUCACAACCACCAACAAAACAUAGCCACCAACAAGAUCCAACAAAAUCCUCGCAACUGUCGCCCAAAAAUACCAGCAAAUCAGAUCCACAAUAAAAAGCUGCACCACCACGACCACCUGUGCCACCUCUACAAGCACCACCACCACUCCAACAUUGUCAACAGCCAAAUGUUGUACACAACACCACCACAAUGACCUGCACCACCAACUAACCAACAAAACUACCAUGGUGGCGCAGAGCAACGACAAGCACAACGUAGCAGCUGUGCACGAAGCGACAGGGAAUCGUAGUGGCGAUGCAUGCCUUGUCGCUGUUGCACACAUAUGUUUCUCUAUUGCAGAUCCCCUUUGACUCUCUUGACUUGUUUUGUGUGGUGUCGAUAAUUGAGGUGAAGAUAGUGGAUUUGUAGUGGUGAUGGUAUUGGCAGAGGUGAUGGCUACGGAUUUGGGAAUUUUUUUGGUGGGUGUGGUAAGGUGGUUGAGUGUGGUGCUAGCGAGGAGUUGUCGACGACGAACGGUUAGAGAGAAGACAGAAUGUGGGAUAGAGAGAUGAGAGACAAUGGAGAUGAUAAAAAUGGUUAGGGCUUUGUUGUGUGCGGUUGGGUAUGGAUUAGGAGGGAUGAAUAUGUAUAUUUAUUUUUAAGCUUG
RNAcentral lists this long non-coding RNA (871 nucleotides) under Olea europaea subsp. europaea. The record is from RNAcentral. Lineage: Eukaryota; Viridiplantae; Streptophyta; Magnoliopsida; Lamiales; Oleaceae.